UUGUCUCUCAGAUUUCCAAUUUCAAAAGGUAGUCAUAGACUUUAUGAGAGCAAUUAGAUGUACUCGUUAUACUUCUCUAAAUCACAGAGAAAUAUACUCUCCUUUUCUUCUCUUUCCUCCUUCAGAAAUCAGAAGUUCAUUUCACUACAUCAAUUUCAUAAAUCGCACUAGAGGUAGUUUAAGAAGGAGAGAUGUUUUCCUGGACAGAUUGUCUCCCAUUAUGUGAUCAUCAGUUG
Molecule: long non-coding RNA, 236 nt
Filed under: Elaeis guineensis (African oil palm)
Lineage: Eukaryota; Viridiplantae; Streptophyta; Magnoliopsida; Arecales; Arecaceae
Description: long non-coding RNA (EGUI_LNC000546)
Source: RNAcentral